AACGAACGCUGGCGGCGUGCCUAACACAUGCAAGUCGAGCGGGAAAGUUCCCUUCGGGGAGCGAGUACAGCGGCGAACGGGUGAGUAACACGUAGGUAACCUACCCUGGAGUCCGGGAUAACCUGCCGAAAGGCGGGCUAAUACCAGAUAAGACCACGAGGGCUGCGGCCCUUGGGGCAAAAGAUGGCCUCUGCUUGCAUGCUAUCACUCCGGGAUGGGCCUGCGCGCCAUUAGCUAGUUGGUGGGGUAACGGCUCACCAAGGCUGAGAUGGCUAGCUGGUCUGAGAGGAUGGCCAGCCACACUGGGACUGAGACACGG
This 319-nucleotide ribosomal RNA is filed under the name uncultured bacterium. RNAcentral's name for it is "bacterial SSU rRNA". It matches the Rfam family "Bacterial small subunit ribosomal RNA", at positions 29 to 329 of the family's 1533-position model. The record is from RNAcentral.